CAUAGUAUUUCUUUAUAUUCUCAGAAUUGGAUUAUAUAUGCCUUUGAACUAUGCCUUUGAAUAGUCAGAGGAAGCUGAAUCUCUAGAAGUGAGACUGUUCGGCAUCCCUAAAAACACUGGCACUACCUAUGAAUAAGACAGGAAACCACAAGAAAAAGAAUACUUGAAAGACAGCUAGAUACGACUGAAAGGGAGUGACACUACAGGCAAAAGUGCUUUCUGAGUGCCAGCGAUGGUGCUGGGGCGCCGAGAAAAGGACGAUCUGAAUGCAGCGUACUGAUUGGUUUCACGUCCAAGAGCCUCUUAUGCUUUCUGCAUCUUUCAAACUCGGAUGCUUGCCUGGCUUGUGGUACUCUGAAUUGGGCGAGACGAGCAAACCGUGUAUUAGCAGCCAUUGCAGCCUGAAGCUUUGCUUUAUCUCAUCUGGGACUUGUGUUGCACACACAUUGGAGAAGACACAUGCCCAGUGGUGUGGCGGAAUGGGCACUGAAUGGACCCACCCCCCAGCACAGUGCAACUAUAAACUCCAGACAAUCCACAAAGAUCAACAAAGGGAUAUGGAGAGUGAACAAAGGGAUACGCAGGCAGAGGGGAGUUGAACGUCAGAGGAAGGUGUGUAUUUCCCGGCAUCAGCUCUGGCUGGAGGAUGGGACGUGGUCAGAAAGGGUGUGUGACGGACUGAAACUCCAGUGGAAGGUCUGCCGUGUUCUGGCCCAAGGAAGCAGAGGGCGGAGCCUGGGGCGGUCACAGCAGUGAGAAAGUGAGGGAUCGCCCAGAAGAGAGCUGACCUGGGUUCUGUGUUUGAACACUGCACAAGGCAGACUUGGGUUUGGAGUACAGCUGGUUAUCUGCGGGUCACACCCCGAGAACAGGAGGGUCAACUAAGAGUUGUGAGCAUCCAGGGGUCUUGAUGGAGGAGGUGGGGAUUCCAGAAUCAAUUCCCCAAGGAUCCUGAGGGACAGCCUGACUGAGAUCUGCACUGCCACCCACCACAGGUGAGACAGAGCUUGCUGUUUCAAUUGAAUCAAGUCAACUGCCUGUUAAGACAAAGUAUCAACAACGUUGGGAUGAAUACAACAGAACUCAGUCUUGACUGCAAAGCAUUCGCAAUGUCCGGGUUAUAAUCCCAGACUAUUCAAGACAAGAAGAACCAGGAGAAAGUGGCCUGUUGUCAAGAGAGAAGACAAGGAAGUGGAGGAGAAGGAAGGAAGAGAAGAGGAGGAAGGGGAGAUGGAGAAAGAAUACAAACAUUCCAGAGAGCCCUCAGGGAUGUGUGGGACAAUAUCAAAAAGGCUAACAUAUAGAUAGUUGAAGUUCCAGAAGAAGAGGAUAAAAAGAAUGAGAUGGAAAAUAUCUGAAGGAAUAACGACAGAAAAGUUCAUGGAAUCCCAAGUUUAAUGGAAUAUUUAAAUUUACUGAUUCAGUAGGCUUAUGGGAAAUCAUAUGAGAAUGAUUCAGUGGUUAGGACUCUGCGCUUCCACUGCAGCGGGGCAUGAGUUUGAUCCCUGGUUGGGGAAACUUGAUAAACUGGGGGGCUCCUGGGCACAGAGCCUUUCCGUGUCCCCCUUUUCUUUGAUUAUAGGAAACAGCCUUCAUUCAGCCUCCAUGACCUUCCCUGAGUUCCAGUGAGCAGAUUCAGUGAGUCAGUUGGCCAUGUCCGACUCUUUGUGAUCCCAUGGACUGUAGCCCACCAGGCUCCUCUGUCCAUGGGGAUUCUGCAGGCAAGGAUACCUGCCAUUUUCUCCUCCAGGGGAUCUUCACAACCCAGGGAUGAGGCAGAUACAUGCAGUUGUAAAUUAAUGAAGGGAGGGGACGUGAGACCUGGGAGAAACCAAGAGCAGGCUUGGGGCAAGGUCCUAUUUCUCCAUCAGCAGAUGCAAUAUCUUUGAGCUGUUUUGCAAAUACGGAAACUCCCUCCAGAUGGGAGAAGUUAAUGAUGAUAAGCUGCCCACUAGCAUGUAGACCCCAGACCAGUUGGAUCUGAAAGUUGAUGAUGCUGACUCCUACUUACCUCACCACCAACCCAUCAGAAGAAUGUCCACAAGCUGACCAUGCCCUCUUUGAAAAGUUACUAUAAAACUUCUCGCUAUCUUCCCCAAGUUGGGACACAUGAUUUGAGGGCAUGAGCCCGUUGUGCCCACUUUGCCUGGCAAAGCAAUAAAGCUAUCCUUUCCUGCUUCA
This is a long non-coding RNA of Bos mutus (wild yak), 2181 nucleotides long. The record is from Ensembl. NCBI's taxonomy places the organism in Eukaryota, Metazoa, Chordata, Mammalia, Artiodactyla, Bovidae.